AUGCGAGGGCAAUCUGGCUGCGACAUCUCUCACCUCAUUGAUCACCAAGGUUGAUUUGGCUGAUCUGGCUGGCUAGAAGGGGACUCUUUUCUAACCCCAAGCAAGU
This 106-nucleotide small nuclear RNA is filed under the name Ophiophagus hannah (king cobra). RNAcentral describes it as "7SK RNA". It matches the Rfam family "7SK RNA", at positions 1 to 116 of the family's 331-position model. From Rfam's summary of the family: 7SK was discovered as an abundant small nuclear RNA in the mid-70s but a possible function has only recently been suggested. Two independent studies have found that 7SK RNA binds the CDK9/cyclin T complex (known as elongation factor P-TEFb). Lineage: Eukaryota; Metazoa; Chordata; Lepidosauria; Squamata; Elapidae. The record is from Rfam by way of RNAcentral.